UAGGGAAUUUUCCGCAAUGGGGGAAACCCUGACGGAGCAACGCCGCGUGAGGGAAGAAGGCCUUCGGGUCGUAAACCUUUGUCAUCGAGGACGAUAAUGACGGUACUCGAGGAGGAAGCCCCGGCUAACUACGUGCCAGCAGCCGCGGUAAUACGUAGGGGGCGAGCGUUGUCCGGAAUUACUGGGCGUAAAGGGCGCGUAGGCGGCUUAAUAAGUCUGAUGUGAAAAUCCUGGGCUUAACCCAGGGCUUGCAUUAGAAACUGUUGAGCUUGAGGACAGGAGAGGAAAGCGGAAUUCCCAGUGUAGCGGUGAAAUGCGUAGAUAUUGGGAAGAACACCAGUGGCGAAGGCGGCUUUCUGGACUGCACCUGACGCUGAGGCGCGAAAGCCAGGGGAGCGAACG
RNAcentral lists this ribosomal RNA (402 nucleotides) under uncultured bacterium. RNAcentral describes it as "bacterial SSU rRNA". It matches the Rfam family "Bacterial small subunit ribosomal RNA", at positions 355 to 774 of the family's 1533-position model. The record is from RNAcentral.